UGGCUCAGGAUGAACGCUGGCGGCGUGCCUAAUACAUGCAAGUCGAGCGAACAGAUAAGGAGCUUGCUCCUUUGACGUUAGCGGCGGACGGGUGAGUAACACGUGGAUAACCUACCUAUAAGACUGGGAUAACUUCGGGAAACCGGAGCUAAUACCGGAUAACAUAUUGAACCGCAUGGUUCAAUAGUGAAAGGCGGCUUUGCUGUCACUUAUAGAUGGAUCCGCGCCGUAUUAGCUAGUUGGUAAGGUAACGGCUUACCAAGGCAACGAUACGUAGCCGACCUGAGAGGGUGAUCGGCCACACUGGAACUGAGACACGGUCCAGACUCCUACGGGAGGCAGCAGUAGGGAAUCUUCCGCAAUGGGCGAAAGCCUGACGGAGCAACGCCGCGUGAGUGAUGAAGGUCUUCGGAUCGUAAAACUCUGUUAUCAGGGAAGAACAAAUGUGUAAGUAACUGUGCACAUCUUGACGGUACCUGAUCAGAAAGCCACGGCUAACUACGUGCCAGCA
RNAcentral lists this ribosomal RNA (511 nucleotides) under Staphylococcus sp. RNAcentral's name for it is "bacterial SSU rRNA". It matches the Rfam family "Bacterial small subunit ribosomal RNA", at positions 20 to 513 of the family's 1533-position model. Lineage: Bacteria; Bacillati; Bacillota; Bacilli; Caryophanales; Staphylococcaceae. The record is from RNAcentral.